RNAcentral lists this long non-coding RNA (219 nucleotides) under Elaeis guineensis (African oil palm). RNAcentral's name for it is "long non-coding RNA (EGUI_LNC056141)". The record is from RNAcentral. Lineage: Eukaryota; Viridiplantae; Streptophyta; Magnoliopsida; Arecales; Arecaceae.
GGGUAAAUAAAUUAUUUGAAAAAAAUAUAAAAAAUACAAAAAGAAGUUUGAUAAGAGAAUUCGAAAGACUCCUAAGAAAUUGAGAACUCAAAAGAAACUGAAUGAAAAAUGGAUCUGUGAUAUUUUAUUUAAACUAAAAGAUGAAUAUCAAUUUAGACAUAAAGCUUUGAUAGAUUCUGGAGUCGAUGUAAACUGUAUUAGACAAGACUUAAUUCCUUC